RNAcentral lists this ribosomal RNA (539 nucleotides) under uncultured bacterium. RNAcentral describes it as "bacterial SSU rRNA". It matches the Rfam family "Bacterial small subunit ribosomal RNA", at positions 865 to 1407 of the family's 1533-position model. The record is from RNAcentral.
CGUUGCGCUCGGGGAGUACGGCGCAAGGCUAAAACUCAAAGGAAUUGUAGGGGGCCCCGCGACAAGCGGCGGAGCGUGCGGUUUAAUUUCGACCAAACGCGUCAGAACCUUACCAGGGCUUGGACAUGCGACUGCAGGCGCCGGAAACGGCGCGUCCUUCAGGGUGUCGCACAGGUGCUGCAUGGCUGUCGUCAGCUCGUGUCGUGAGAUGUUGGGUUAAGUCCCGCAACGAGCGNAACCCUCGCGGCCAGUUACGUGGAUGUCUGCCGGACUGCCGGUAGCAAGCCGGAGGAAGGCGGGGAUGACGUCAAGUCAGCUAUGGCCCUUACGUCCUGGGCUACACGCACGCUACAAUGGCGAGGACAAUGGGUAGCCAAACCGCAAGGUGGAGCGAAUCCUCACAAAACCUCGCCUCAGUUCAGAUUGUGGGCUGCAACUCGCCCCGCGAUGAAGGUGGAGUCGCUAGUAACCGCAGGUCUAGCAUUACUGCGGUGAAUACGUUCCCGGGCCUUGUACGUACACCGCCGUCGACGCGGCCG